Molecule: ribosomal RNA, 254 nt
Filed under: uncultured bacterium
Lineage: Bacteria
Description: partial 16S ribosomal RNA
Rfam family: Bacterial small subunit ribosomal RNA
Source: RNAcentral
UACGGAGGGAGCUAGCGUUAUUCGGAAUUACUGGGCGUAAAGCGUACGUAGGCGGCUUUGUAGGUAAGAGGUGAAAGCCCGGAGCUCAAACUCCGGAACUGCCUUUUAGACUGCAUCGCUUGAAUCAGGAGAGGUGAGUGGAAUUCCGAGUGUAGAGGUGAAAUUCGUAGAUAUUCGGAAGAACACCAGUGGCGAAGGCGGCUCACUGGACGCGUAUUGACGCUGAGGUGCGAAAAGCGUGGGGAGCAAACAGG